UUAAUGGUCUAUCCUCAGAGCUUCAGCAACUUCUAGCGAAGCAGAAGAUUACUUUCCACCUCAACCCCCCAGCAGCACCCCAUUUUGGUGGGGCAUGGGAGCGAGAGAUAAGAUCAGUCAAAUCUGCUUUGUAUACAGUUAUAGGAGCUCAGCCAGUCUUUGAAGAAGUACUCCGUACCGUCUUGUUGGAAGUCGAGGCGAUACUGAACACAAAGCCACUGGGAUAUACCUCAGCCAAUAUAGCAGAUCUGGAUGCAAUCACUCCGAACGUCCUCUUGAUGGGGCGGCUAGAUGGUGCUUUGCCCCAGGUGGUAUACAACAAAAGUGAAGGCUUGAGUAGGAGAAGAUGGAGGCACUGUCAGGUCUUGGCAGACCACUUCUGGUCUAGGUUUAUCAGGUACUACUUACCCACCCUGCAGCCUCGACAGAAGUGGCAUACCACCAAUGUGGAUCUUGCAGUCAACUCUGUUGUUCUGAUGAUGGACCCACAGCUUCCCAGGGCUCUUUGGCCAGUCGGCAGAGUGACUAAGGUACAUCAGAGUGUUGAUGGUUGUGUAAGGUCAGCCGAUGUCCGGAUCAAGGACAAAGUCUACACCAGACCAGUUGCCCGUCUCAUUGCCCUUCCAGCUAUCCCAGAUUCAUAAUGGAUUCCAUCGUAGUGCCUAUGGAAGCGGCUGAGCAGUGAGCCUUUCUCAGGAGCAAAUUGCAUGCAAUUUGGGGGCGGCUGUGUGAAAGUCUCACUAAUGACACUGAUUUACGACGUGGAUGGAUAAGAGCGCUCUCGUCCCGGUUGCGGGGACUCUUAUUUUGACGGAACGCAGCUCAUACGGUGGGGUGCUUCAGAGUGCGCGCGCACCGCGAUCCAGUCGCGCAUCAGCCGUCAUCUUCAGAGAGAACGAGCCGUGAAAUUCCCUGACUAAAUUCAGUUUUGAUCUUCGUUAUAUUCCUAUGAGUGUUUAAAGUUGUGUGCGUCCAGAGAGAAAACCACACACUCAUAUGCUGACACUCCUCAGGACAUACAGCAAAGACGAUACCACUUAGUACCCAUAUACAUGCUCAUCUUCGAUCUGUGCACAGAGAGCACUGUUUAAUACAGCUCAUUAGGAUCUGGCUCCCCCUCUUCAUAUGCUUGUAUAAAUAAAUCUGUUAAACUGGAUUCCUUCUCCGACUUUGGUGUUCUUACCGACACACCCGGACCAGCUUCACCUCAUUAGCAACAGCUAGCACCUUACAGUC
Cyprinus carpio (common carp) is the source of this 1236-nucleotide long non-coding RNA. RefSeq lists it as uncharacterized. The record is from RefSeq and is a predicted model, not a curated record. NCBI's taxonomy places the organism in Eukaryota, Metazoa, Chordata, Actinopteri, Cypriniformes, Cyprinidae. The transcript is spliced from 2 exons.